UACGUAGGGGGCGAACGUUGCUCGGAAUUACUGGGCGUAAAGGGUGCGUAGGCGGCUGAGCAAGUCACGGAUGAAAUCCCGCGGCUCAACUGCGGAACUGUCCUUGAAACUGCUCAGCUUGAGGAUAGUCGAAGAGCACGGAAUUCCCGGUGGAGCGGUGAAAUGCGUAGAUAUCGGGAGGAACACCUGAGGCGAAAGCGGUGCUCUAGGCUACUCCUGACGCUGAGGCACGAAAGCUAGGGGAGCGAACGGG
RNAcentral lists this ribosomal RNA (253 nucleotides) under uncultured bacterium. RNAcentral describes it as "partial 16S ribosomal RNA". It matches the Rfam family "Bacterial small subunit ribosomal RNA", at positions 524 to 776 of the family's 1533-position model. The record is from RNAcentral.